This is a long non-coding RNA of Eupeodes corollae, 497 nucleotides long. RefSeq lists it as uncharacterized. NCBI's taxonomy places the organism in Eukaryota, Metazoa, Arthropoda, Insecta, Diptera, Syrphidae. The record is from RefSeq and is a predicted model, not a curated record. The transcript has 2 exons.
CAUUAAACAAAAUAUACACAUAUUGAAACCCGUCUAUAUAAACUGUAACACAGCCAGACUUAAUUUUUAUAAAGUUUCAAUUAAAUUUAGAACAACAUGUUUUUAGUCACCUUCGUUUUGUUAUUGUCUACUCCUUUACAAACAAUUUUCACUGAAGCCGUUGAUCCCAGUAUCGAAUGUAUGGAUAUCGAAAAUAUUCAAGAUAAGGAUGCUUUUGAAUUUUUCACCCAAAACCUAAGUAUUGCUGAAAACAAACCGAGAUUAAAGUGCUAUGCUGCAUGCUGUCUUGAGUUUAUGCGUGCAUUACAACGUGGUUGCAACUAUCAGCCGGAAUCAGGUAAAAAGUAUGUCAUCGAUAAUGGAUUAAGAAAGGAUAUGUUGUCAGCAUAUGAUGCAUGUCAUAAUAGUACGACUAGUGUGGAACGUUGUCAGUGCGGAUUUGAUAUUUAUAAGUGUAUUGCGGAAUAUAUGGACCUUCAAAGAAAUGAUUUUUAAAA